RNAcentral lists this ribosomal RNA (518 nucleotides) under uncultured bacterium. RNAcentral's name for it is "bacterial SSU rRNA". It matches the Rfam family "Bacterial small subunit ribosomal RNA", at positions 8 to 518 of the family's 1533-position model. The record is from RNAcentral.
AGAGUUUGAUUCUGGCUCAGGAUGAACGCUAGCGACAGGCUUAACACAUGCAAGUCGAGGGGCAUCACGGGAGUAGCAAUACAACUGGUGGCGACCGGCGCACGGGUGAGUAACGCGUAUGCAACCUACCUAUCGGAGGGGAAUAACCCGGCGAAAGUCGGACUAAUACCGCAUAAAACAGGGGCACCGCAUGGUGAUAUUUGUUAAGAAAUUCGCUGAUAGAUGGGCAUGCGUUCCAUUAGGUAGUUGGUGAGGUAACGGCUCACCAAGCCGACGAUGGAUAGGGGAACUGAGAGGUUGGUCCCCCACACUGGUACUGAGACACGGACCAGACUCCUACGGGAGGCAGCAGUGAGGAAUAUUGGUCAAUGGGCGGGGGCCUGAACCAGCCAAGUCGCGUGAAGGAAGAAGGAUCUAUGGUUCGUAAACUUCUUUUGCAGGGGAAUAAAGUGCAGGACGUGUCCUGUUUUGUAUGUACCCUGAGAAUAAGGAUCGGCUAACUCCGUGCCAGCCGCCGC